AAGUCGUAACAAGGUAACCGUAGGUGAACCUGCGGUUGGAUCAUUAACAAUCCUAGACCCUCGGGUCUUUAACCCCUUGUGCAUCCAUUAUUGUCUCUGGGUACCUUAGUAAUAGGGUGCCCGAAUUUAUAAACCUUACUAUAUGUCUGAAUUUUUAUUAUAUAAAAAAAACAACUUUUGACAACGGAUCUCUUGGCUCUC
RNAcentral lists this unclassified non-coding RNA (201 nucleotides) under Chytridiomycetes sp. RNAcentral describes it as "partial contains small subunit ribosomal RNA, internal transcribed spacer 1, and 5.8S ribosomal RNA". The stretch from base 1 to 46 matches the Rfam family "Eukaryotic small subunit ribosomal RNA", at positions 1786 to 1831 of the family's 1831-position model. The record is from RNAcentral. Lineage: Eukaryota; Fungi; Chytridiomycota; Chytridiomycetes.